Molecule: ribosomal RNA, 467 nt
Filed under: uncultured bacterium
Lineage: Bacteria
Description: partial 16S ribosomal RNA
Rfam family: Bacterial small subunit ribosomal RNA
Source: RNAcentral
GACGAACGCUGGCGGCGUGCUUAACACAUGCAAGUCGAACGGAAAGGCCCUGCUUUUGUGGGGUGCUCGAGUGGCGAACGGGUGAGUAACACGUGAGUAACCUGCCCUUGACUUUGGGAUAACUUCAGGAAACUGGGGCUAAUACCGGAUAGGAGCUCCUGCUGCAUGGUGGGGGUUGGAAAGUUUCGGCGGUUGGGGAUGGACUCGCGGCUUAUCAGCUUGUUGGUGGGGUAGUGGCUUACCAAGGCUUUGACGGGCAGCCGGCCUGAGAGGGUGACCGGCCACAUUGGGACUGAGAUACGGCCCAGACUCCUACGGGAGGCAGCAGUGGGGAAUAUUGCACAAUGGGCGGAAGCAGGAUGCAGCAACGCCGCGUGCGGGAGGACGGCCUUCGGGUUGUAAACCGCUUUCGCCUGUGACGAAGCGUGAGUGACGGGAAUGGGUAAAGAAGCACAAGAGAACUAUGU